UACAGCAAUGAGCCAUCCUGGAAUCUGUAAAGUCUUUCAGGCACUGGAACCCAACAUCUCAUCCGAAAGUCAUCUUUCAGAGCCAGAUUGACACUUGCUUCCUAUGAAGUUCAUCUUGACGAAAAUCCUCCUCCACUGUUAUCAUUGGGAUUGAGAGACACUAGUCAGUCUCUGCCAGUGGCCUGGACUGAAAACACAUAGGUGCAAAAGUUAUGAAUCAGCCAUGUCAGGCUGUGAGCACACUGAAGCCCUCCAACCUGGCCUGUAGAGAAAAGCAGAGACAAAUGGAGAAUGAGAAUGAACGAAGUGGUGUGCAAACAGAAGCAAAGAUGAAGAGAUGGACUGAACAAGCAAGAGAAAAGGAGAAAGACUGCCUGCUUAAAUAAACACUGACACAUUUUCUCUCAAGUUUACACAGUCUUAGUUCAAGCAGCCCGUAGAAGUAACUCAUA
Molecule: long non-coding RNA, 452 nt
Filed under: Equus asinus (donkey)
Lineage: Eukaryota; Metazoa; Chordata; Mammalia; Perissodactyla; Equidae
Description: lncRNA (ENSEASG00005036875.1)
Source: RNAcentral